This 47-nucleotide transfer RNA is filed under the name Lycosa singoriensis. RNAcentral's name for it is "tRNA-Gln". The record is from RNAcentral. Lineage: Eukaryota; Metazoa; Arthropoda; Arachnida; Araneae; Lycosidae.
GUGUAACACGCACAUAAAAAUUUGAUUUUUAAAGAGAUAAAUUUAUC